GAAGCGAGAGUGACGGUACCUGCAGAAGAAGCACCGGCCAACUACGUGCCAGCAGCCGCGGUAAUACGUAGGGUGCAAGCGUUGUCCGGAAUUAUUGGGCGUAAAGAGCUCGUAGGCGGUUUGUUGCGUCGGCUGUGAAAUCCUGAGGCUCAACCUCAGGCCGGCAGUCGAUACGAGCAGACUAGAGUGUUGCAAGGGAGACUGGAAUUCCUGGUGUAGCGGUGAAAUGCGCAGAUAUCAGGAGGAACACCGGUGGCGAAGGCGGGUCUCUGGGCAACAACUGACGCUGAGGAGCGAAAGCGUGGGGAGCGAACAGGAUUAGAUACCCUGGUAGUCCACGCCGUAAACGUUGGGCGCUAGGUGUGGGGCUCAUUCCACGAGUUCCGUGCCGCAGCUAACGCAUUAAGCGCCCCGCCUGGGGAGUACGGCCGCAAGGCUAAAACUCAAAGGAACUGACGGGGGCCCGCACAAGCGGCGGAGCAUGUUGCUUAAUUCGAUGCAACGCGAAGAACCUUACCUAGGCUUGACAUGCACGGAAAUCCUCCAGAGAUGGGGGGUCCGUAAGGGCCGUGCACAGGUGGUGCAUGGUUGUCGUCAGCUCGUGUCGUGAGAUGUUGGGUUAAGUCCCGCAACGAGCGCAACCCUCGUUCCAUGUUGCCAGCACGUAAUGGUGGGGACUCAUGGGAGACUGCCGGGGUCAACUCGGAGGAAGGUGGGGAUGACGUCAAAUCAUCAUGCCCCUUAUGUCUAGGGCUGCAAACAUGCUACAAUGGCCGGUACAAAGGGCUGCGAUACCGUGAGGUGGAGCGAAUCCCAAAAAGCCGGUCUCAGUUCGGAUUGGGGUCUGCAACUCGACCCCAUGAAGUUGGAGUCGCUAGUAAUCGCAGAUCAGCAACGCUGCGGUGAAUACGUUCCCGGGCCUUGUACACACCGCCCGUCAUC
RNAcentral lists this ribosomal RNA (942 nucleotides) under uncultured Blastococcus sp. Its description in RNAcentral is "bacterial SSU rRNA". It matches the Rfam family "Bacterial small subunit ribosomal RNA", at positions 460 to 1401 of the family's 1533-position model. The record is from RNAcentral. Lineage: Bacteria; Bacillati; Actinomycetota; Actinomycetes; Geodermatophilales; Geodermatophilaceae.